GUGGGGAAUAUUGGACAAUGGGCGAAAGCCUGAUCCAGCCAUGCCGCGUGUGUGAAGAAGGUCUUCGGAUUGUAAAGCACUUUAAGUUGGUAGGAAGGGCAGUAAGUUAAUACCUUGCUGUUUUGACGUUACCGACAGAAUAAGCACCGGCUAACUUCGUGCCAGCAGCCGCGGUAAUACGAAGGGUGCAAGCGUUAAUCGGAAUUACUGGGCGUAAAGCGCGCGUAGGUGGUUUUGUAAGUUGUAGGUGAAAUCGCCGGGCUCAACCAGGGAACUGCCUCCAAAACUGCAUGACUGGAGGAAGGUAGGGGGUAGUGGAAUUUCCUGGGUAGCGGUGAAAUGCGUAGAUAUAGGAAGGAACACCAGUGGCGAAGGCGACUACCUGGACUGAUACUGACACUGGGGUGCGAAAGCGUGGGGAGCAAACAGGAUUAGAAACCCGGGUAGUCC
Molecule: ribosomal RNA, 450 nt
Filed under: uncultured bacterium
Lineage: Bacteria
Description: partial 16S ribosomal RNA
Rfam family: Bacterial small subunit ribosomal RNA
Source: RNAcentral